This 68-nucleotide transfer RNA is filed under the name Apocheima cinerarius. RNAcentral describes it as "tRNA-Asn". Lineage: Eukaryota; Metazoa; Arthropoda; Insecta; Lepidoptera; Geometridae. The record is from RNAcentral.
AAAAAGGGGGAUAUCCCUGUGAAAGAAAAAAAAGAAAAAUUAUUUUCCAAUAAAACAAAAAAAAAAGU